ACUCCUACGGGAGGCAGCAGUGGGGAAUUUUGGACAAUGGGGGAAACCCUGAUCCAGCCAUCCCGCGUGUGCGAUGAAGGCCUUCGGGUUGUAAAGCACUUUUGGCAGGAAAGAAACGUCGUGGGUUAAUACCCCGCGAAACUGACGGUACCCGCAGAAUAAGCACCGGCUAACUACGUGCCAGCAGCCGCGGUAAUACGUAGGGUGCAAGCGUUAAUCGGAAUUACUGGGCGUAAAGCGUGCGCAGGCGGUUCGGAAAGAAAGAUGUGAAAUCCCAGAGCUUAACUUUGGAACUGCAUUUUUAACUACCGAGCUAGAGUGUGUCAGAGGGAGGUGGAAUUCCGCGUGUAGCAGUGAAAUGCGUAGAUAUGCGGAGGAACACCGAUGGCGAAGCCAGCCUCCUGGGAUAACACUGACGCUCAUGCACGAAAGCGUGGGGAGCAAACAGGAUUAGAUACCCUGGUAGUCCACGCCCUAAACGAUGUCAACUAGCUGUUGGGCCUUCGGGCCUUGGUAGCGCAGCUAACGCGUGAAGUUGACCGCCUGGGGAGUACGGUCGCAAGAUUAAAACUCAAAGGAAUUGACGG
This 587-nucleotide ribosomal RNA is filed under the name uncultured bacterium. RNAcentral describes it as "bacterial SSU rRNA". It matches the Rfam family "Bacterial small subunit ribosomal RNA", at positions 335 to 916 of the family's 1533-position model. The record is from RNAcentral.